Molecule: unclassified non-coding RNA, 328 nt
Filed under: soil metagenome
Description: partial contains 5.8S ribosomal RNA, internal transcribed spacer 2, and large subunit ribosomal RNA
Rfam family: 5.8S ribosomal RNA (bases 1-120)
Source: RNAcentral
GAUGAAGAACGUAGCGAAAUGCGAUAAGUAAUGUGAAUUGCAGAAUUCAGUGAAUCAUCGAAUCUUUGAACGCACAUUGCGCCCUCUGGUAUUCCGGGGGGCAUGCCUGUUCGAGCGUCAUUAUAACCACUCAAGCUCUCGCUUGGUAUUGGGGCUCGCGGUUCCGCGGCCCCUAAAAUCAGUGGCGGUGCCUGUCGGCUCUACGCGUAGUAAUACUCCUCGCGAUUGAGUCCGGUAGGUCUACUUGCCAGCAACCCCAAUUUUUACAGGUUGACCUCGGAUCAGGUAGGGAUACCCGCUGAACUUAAGCAUAUCAAUAAGCGGAGGA